GCAAGGGCGUAUGGUGGAUGCCUUGGCAGACAGGACCGAUGAAGGACGUUUGAGGCUGCGAUAUGCCUCGGGGAGCCGCCAACAGGGCUUUGAUCCGAGGAUUUCCGAAUGGGGGAACCCACCGGCCGUCAUGGGCCGGUACCGCCGUGUGCGGGGGGUACGCAGGGAAGUGAAACAUCUCAGUACCUGCAGGAAAGGAUAUUCCGUGAGUAGUGGCGAGCGAAAGCGGAUCAGGCCAAACCUUGCGCGUGUGAUACCCGUCGGGGGUUGCGCGCGGGGUGUAGAGGGAUCGCGUUUGCCGGCUCCGACGGGCCGGCCGUCAGUUGCAUAAAACCAUGUGCCAGGGGAACCGGGUUGAAUACCGGGCCGCAGAGGGUGAGGGCCCCGUACCCGAACGCGCAUGGUCUGGCGAUCGCGUCUCCCAAGUAGCACGGGCCCCGUGGAAUCCCGUGCGAAUCUGUCCCGACCGUGGGAUAAGCCUAAAUAUUCCUGUCUGACCGAUAGCGAACGAGUACCGUGAGGGAAAGGUGAAAAGUACCCCGGGAGGGGAGUGAAACAGUCUCUGAAACCAUGCGCCUACGAACCGUCGGGGCCCUCUUGUGGGGUGACGGCGUGCCUAUCGAAAAAUGAGUCUGCGAGUCAGUGGCAUGUGGCGAGCAUAACCCGUGUGGGGUAUGCGUAGCGAAGGCGAGUCUUAAAAGGCGUUUGAGUCGCGUGUCCUGGACCCGAAGCGGGAUGAUCUAGCCCUGAGCAGGUUGAAGCGCGGGUAAGACCGUGUGGAGGACCGAACCCACCUGGGUUGAAAACCGGGGGGAUGACUUGGGGCUAGGGGUGAAAGGCCAAUCAAAUUCCGUGAUAGCUGGUUCUCUCCGAAAUGCAUUUAGGUGCAGCGUCGGAUCGAUUACAUCCGGGGGGUAGAGCGACUGGAUGCUUGCGGGCCCAUAUCGGGUACCAACAGCAACCAAACUCCGAAUACCCGUGAUGCGUAUCCCGGCAGUGAGUCGGCGGGGGAUAAGCUCCGUCGUCGAAAGGGAAACAGCCCAGAUCGUCGUCUAAGGUCCCCAAGCGUGUGCUAAGUGGGAAAGGAUGUGGAGUCGCAUAGACAGCCAGGAGGUUGGCUCAGAAGCAGCCACCCUUGAAAGAGUGCGUAACAGCUCACUGGUCUAGUGGUUCCGCGCCGACAAUGUAGCGGGGCUCAAGCACACCACCGAAGACGCGGCAGUAGCUUUGCUACUGGGUAGGAGAGCGUCCCAUGCGGGGCGAAGCGGCGGCGCAAGCCCGCCGUGGACCGCAUGGGAGUGAGAAUGCAGACAUGAGUAGCGAAAGACGGGUGAAGAUCCCGUCCGCUGGACGACCAAGGGUUCCAGGGCCACGUUCAUCGUCCCUGGGUGAGUCGGGUCCUAAGGCGAGGCCGACAGGCGUAGUCGAAUGGACGAACGGGUCGAUAUUCCCGUACCGGCAUGCAACCGGCAAAACCGAAUCCGCGAGUACUAACUUCCGGGUCCGGGCUCACGUCUCCUUCGGGAGCCGGAUGCCCUGGCCUGUUGGGACCGUAACGGUAGUAGGUCAGCGCGGGAGUGACGCAGAAGGGUAGCCGGCCGCGGAGGUGGUCUUCCGUGGUCAAGCACGCAGCCCGUCCCACAGGCAAAUCCGUGGGGCGCGUGGGCGAGGUGCGAUGAUGGGCGCCGCAGGGCGCGAUAUCCGGUGAUCCCGGCUGCCGAGAAAAGCUUCGGCGUGAGGCGGCAUGCCGCCCGUACCCCAAACCGACACUGGUGGUCAGGUAGAGAAUACCAAAGCGAUCGAGCGAAUCCUGGUCAAGGAACUCGGCAAAUCACUCCCGUUCCUUCGGUUUAAGGGAGACCCCCGAUGGUGAAGCGGCUUGCCCGCGGAGCUUUUGGGGGUGGCACAGACCAGGGGGUAGCGACUGUUUACCAAAAACACAGGAGCGUGCGAAGGCGCAAGCCGCUGUAUACGCUCUGACGCCUGCCCGGUGCCGGAAGGUUAAGAGGAUCCGUCAGGCCUCGGCCGAAGCGGUGAAUUCAAGCCCCGGUAAACGGCGGUGGUAACUAUAACCAUCCUAAGGUAGCGAAAUUCCUUGUCGGGUAAGUUCCGACCUGCACGAAUGGCGUAACGACUUCCCCACUGUCUCGACCAGGAGCUCGGCGAAAUUGCAGUACGAGUAAAGAUGCUCGUUAAGCGCAGAAGGACGAAAAGACCCCGGGACCUUUACUAUACCUUGGUAUUGGCAUUCGGUGUGGAUUGUGUAGCAUAGGCGGAAGGCUUCGAAGCCACGGCGCCAGCCGCGGUGGAGCCGCAAGGUGAAAUACCGCUCUGUUCGCAUUGGAUGUCUAACCUCGACCAGUCAUCCUGGUCAGGGACAGUGCCUGGCGGGUAGUUUAACUGGGGCGGUUGCCUCCCAAAGAGUAACGGAGGCGCUCAAAGGUUCCCUCAGCCCGGUUGGCAAUCGGGUGGCGAGUGUAAGUGCACAAGGGAGCUUGACUGCGAGACUGACGGGUCGAGCAGGGACGAAAGUCGGAACUAGUGAUCCGGUGCCGGUGUACGGACGCGGCAUCGCUCAACGGAUAAAAGGUACCCCGGGGAUAACAGGCUGAUCAUUCCCAAGAGUCCAUAUCGACGGGAUGGUUUGGCACCUCGAUGUCGGCUCGUCGCAUCCUGGGGCUGGAGCAGGUCCCAAGGGUUCGGCUGUUCGCCGAUUAAAGCGGCACGCGAGCUGGGUUCAGAACGUCGUGAGACAGUUUGGUCUCUAUCCUCUGCGCUCGUCGGAAUGUUGAGGAGGCCUGCCCAUAGUACGAGAGGACCUGGGUGGACGAACCUCUGGUAUGCCGGUUGUCACGCCAGUGGCACGGCCGGUUGGCUACGUUCGGAAGGGAUAACCGCUGAAAGCAUCUAAGCGGGAAGCCUGCUCCAAGAUAAGCAUUCCAUAGGACUACGGGUCCUUGAAGUCCCCAUGCAGAACACGUGGUUGAUAGGCCGGACGUGGAAGCCCCGCGAGGGGUGGAGCCGACCGGUACUAACGGAC
RNAcentral lists this ribosomal RNA (3040 nucleotides) under Bifidobacteriaceae bacterium MCC01961. RNAcentral describes it as "23S ribosomal RNA". It matches the Rfam family "Bacterial large subunit ribosomal RNA". The record is from RNAcentral. Lineage: Bacteria; Bacillati; Actinomycetota; Actinomycetes; Bifidobacteriales; Bifidobacteriaceae. RNAcentral also lists the same sequence under 1 other name.